AGUGAACGCUGGCGGCGUGCUUAACACAUGCAAGUCGAACGAGCAAGUGCUGUAGCAAUACAGAUUACUGCUAGUGGCAGACGGGUGAGUAAUACAUGGGAAUCUGCCUUGAAGUCUGGGAUAACUGUUGGAAACGACAGCUAAUACCGGAUAUUGCCGAGAGGUGAAAGAUUUAUCGCUUCAAGAUGAGCCCAUGCAAGAUUAGCUAGUUGGUGAGGUAAUGGCUCACCAAGGCGAAGAUCUUUAGCUGGUCUAAGAGGAUGAUCAGCCACACUGGAACUGAGACACGGUCCAGACUCCUACGGGAGGCAGCAGUGGGGAAUAUUGGACAAUGGGCGAAGCCUGAUCCAGCCAUUCCGCGUGCAGGAUGAAGGCCCUCGGGUUGUAAACUGCUUUUGUACAGAACGAAAAAGCUCUGGCUAAUACCUGGAGUCCAUGACGGUACUGUAAGAUAAG
RNAcentral lists this ribosomal RNA (456 nucleotides) under uncultured bacterium. RNAcentral's name for it is "bacterial SSU rRNA". It matches the Rfam family "Bacterial small subunit ribosomal RNA", at positions 29 to 489 of the family's 1533-position model. The record is from RNAcentral.